GCUGCGGGGAAGCAUAUGCAGUAGUAGGCAGGGACAUUAGGCUGGGGAACAACAGGCAUGCAUGUGCGUUGUGUUGGCCAUAUAAAAUUAUUGCUUUUUACGUGUUUACGUUUUUGGCAGCUGUAGAUGCUACGACACACAAGCCUUGGAGCCAAAAGUUAGGUAUACACACACCCCGCGCAUCACGUGAACACCUUGCGUGGCCGCCGCCAGCAGACGACACGCAUUUAUCAUUCAGAGGAAUCAAACUGAUGCGCUUUGCAUCUUGUGUAAGUGAUACUAGCAAUUUACAUCUGUACUUACGCUUCUCCACCACAAGCCCGAGCUUCUUGAGCAGCUCGAUGGUCGCGCCAUUCUCCUCCAUCUUCGUGAUGGUCCACCCAUCCGAGCGCUCGUGAUAGUCGUACGGCAGGUAGCCGUACCCUGCGUCACCCCAGCUCGCGCCCCAGGAGUUGCGGAACUUGAAUCGCUUCUUGGCAUCAUCGUAGCCCACAAACAAGACGCAAUGGCCACCGAUGCGGUCACCCUUGGGCGUCUUAAUGACGCCAGUGGACUGUACAUCGUCGUCGUACAAAUUCUCAUAGCAUGUAAAACCCGCCACGACAGGCAUGCCGGCGGCGAUGGCGACCUUCAUAGAGCGGGUGUCUGUGCCUACACGUGCGCUCCUCAAGACCUGGAAGUCAAGGGCUUUUUCGAAGGCGGCCUGCGAGGGCUCCUCGCUAAACGGGACAUUGCCCCGAGUGCCGUACGGGCACAGCUCCUGCACAUUUACACAGGUACGUGCUUCGUCAACACAAUUGAUUAAGAACAGCCGAACGCAAUUGCCUGGCAUCCAGCCGGCAAUUUAUCAUUUGCAAACAAUUUUGUCAUCAAUUGCCAUCCAUUUUAGAUGAAUUGUGACGCACCCACGCAUCGGCUAUCGUGCACAUCUGCCCAUAGAAUUGGUUGCGUAGUUUCAUGUAAAAGGGCCGCAAGCACACAUAACCCUGCAUGUAAGCACGCGCAGGACCGCGUGCGGUGACCACCCACCUCAGGCGCAGCACCAAAUUCUUUCAGGGCCGCCAUAGCCGAUGAGGUGUAGGUACCCGUGUCCUCAUCGGGGCUGUUGUGGUCGAUCGCAACGCGUGCACAGUAAUACACGAACCUCGGUGACAGCUCUAUGGGGAUGAUACGGUGGGUGCGCACCACGUAGUCCAUGGCCGCUGUGGAGGCGAAGGCCACACAGGCGCCCACGUCAUACUGGUUACGUUUCACGGGCCAGUUCUGGGCGAGGUCCUUGGAGGGAGGCAGCGGUUCGGUAGGUCCAGCAGCAAGCUUCAGCUUGGGAUACUCCGCCAGCUGAUGUUCCGGCUGGGGCUUGAAGUUAAGCUUGAACUGGCGGACUGACAUCUUGCUUGAUUAAUUGCUUGAAUGUAGCCUGUUCGUCUUUCUGUUGUCGUCGACAACAGCAGUUGAAGCGGUACAAGUUGUACUCAACGCAAUCAGGGCCUGGGAUUCAGAAGCAGAACACUUUGCUUAGGUUUAUGCUUUAACUUGCAGCUGCUUAUAUAUGGGGAGAGCGCCCGCCAAGCUGUCAGAAAUCGUACCUUUGCUGCCUGGCAUGAGCUCGAAGUUUCGUUUGUUAACUAACCCGUUUUGGAUGGCCGACCAGUUUUUGUCGUAUUUGACCUUCAGAGAGCCCAACGUACUCCGCAUCCUCUACGCAUGUAUGUAAAAAGUCAAAGUCAAUUCGGCGUUACUGCGCAGGCAAGUAGUAGCAUGUAGUAAUCGACAAGCGCACAACAGAAGUAAUACCAUGCACGGGACGGCAUGCGGCCUCAAAGGGAUCGCCGCCCACCUACCGCGCCGAUGUGUCGCUUUUACUUCCAGUUGGCUUCAUUCUUGCGUAAAGCACUUAACUUCAGUCCACUUACCCAGAAAUAUUUCCCGCUCUCUCCGCUUCCGUCGGUGUUCCUGCAAUUCGGCGGGCUUUUCGUUGGAACAUGGACACCUACAUGCAUGCGCAACUUCAUUAAUGCGUUUAUGUGUUUUAUGUAUACAUAUAUUUCUGUGUGAAACAUAAAUACUUCGGAAAUGCGAACAAAAGUGCUGCUAUUGACUGCAUAUGACGUAUGACAUUGUAUGAUCCUGUGCUAAGCGACCGGCGGAUCACUGCUCCGUCGCUCGGCUGUAUCCUGACGCGAUUAGUAUAUAAAUUACUACAAAAAAGAGCACGAAACUGAAUAAGCGGUUACGUGCUAUUGCAUUGAAUUACACAGGACAGAUAGGCUGCUAGCGGGCUGCGCUGGUUGGCUUAUUACGGCUUAUUUGCAAUCCUGUGACGAUAAUGCGUAUGUGUGUAGCAGGCCGCAAGGAAGGCAGCGGUAGUUGCUGUUAAACAGGUCUGCCUUGUUAAGGGAACUGGUGAGGGAACUGCAAGCAAUCGUUGUGUGAGUUUAUUUUGGAAUACAUUCAUUCCAAGAAAAAAAAGCUUGAUCCGCGGACCUACCUAGGUAUAUAUAGAUAUAUCUGGUGGAUACUAAAGCCGGCAAGCUAUAAAAUCUGAAUCGCAAAUGUGUGGACCUGAUAUAUGCAUUAGCCUUGACUGGCUUCAUUACAUUUUCAAAAAGUACAUAAAUUUAUUUCUCAUAUCGUGUAUGCGCCAUUGCUUUGGGCUGGGACAGAACGAUUCUGCUGCCUCCCUGUGCCGACUGUGCCGAGGUCAUUAAUUCGUAACAUUCCGACCUGAUUAAUGCAUUUCGUUGAAUGCGUUGCAUGCAUGCUGAAAAUAUAAUUUUUUUUCUAUCUGAAAAACCCUAAUUACACCACAACGGAUCCAUUUGAAACCAAGAUGUGUGUGUGGUGGUGUGUGGUGGUGUGUGGUGGUGUGUGGUGGUGUGUGGUGGUGUGUGGUUGUUACAGUGGGCUCCAGACUCAAGAAGAUGUGCACGGUGGCAACACCACCCACUCCUCAUUCACGCACGUCAGGAGGUCAGCAGUGCGUGGCUAUAGGGUUACCAGGCGACUUCUAUCUCCCGAUUCAUCCAUCCCAUACAAUUACUAUGAUCCAUCAGAUACUUCAGAGCCCAUCGAUUCAUGGAUUGGCGGUUCUGUUAGUCUGCAUUUAAGCGCAAGCAGAAGAUGACGCCGGCGCUGAUCUAAAUCCAUCCAGCCUAAUUUACGCUGAUCAGGUUCAGCUUCUGUCCGGUGGUGGGCAGAGCCGUGCCCCUGUUGUCCGCAGCCUGCACCCCGUCGGGGGUAUCGGUGUUGACCACGUUGAGCGAUUUGCCGUUGGCCAGCUUGAGCUGCGCAACCUUGAUGUACGCAGACGCCUCGGUGGGCAUAAAGCCCACGCCUUGCACACUCAGCUUGCCGCUCACAGUGAUCGACUGCUCCGUACGCUGUUCCAACGCUUGGGCAAUGUCCUUAGCCUGCUUGUCGUAGUUUGAAUUGGCGUUGCGCAUCUUCUCAACCUCCGUCUUGUCAUAUCCGGCAUUCAUGUGCACACCGAACCAGCUGAGGACAGGUACGUUGAAGCCACCAUCGUAGUGCUGCUUCGCUUCCUUGUAGGUGGAUUUCUCGUCCUCGCUCAUGUUUUCGAGCAGCUUGGAUUCCAUUUCCAAAAUGUGGGCACAGGUCACGGCCCGCAUAGUCAUCGUGAACGUCAACUCGGCCCAUGCACCCUUCUGGACUCUGAUACCCACAGAGAUGGUGUUUGUGUAACCGGUCUGGCAAUCCUUCACCACGCCCUGCACCUCCUCACUUGCGGUAAGGGAAAGAGACAACAGGCGCAGCUUCUGUCCGACAAUAGCCCCCAUGUAGUACUUGCUUGUCGACUGGCUGCACGUGUCGUUGCCGCCUCCGGCAGGUGCAACUGGCCGUGUGGGGUCGACCACCAAGCCCGAAUGCUUGCUAGGCACGCACACCUCUGUGGGGCGCAUAUGCAGAUGGUGUAAGAUUGUUAUAUCACGGCAUUUUCGGAAGGUUAUCUAACCCCUUUGGCUCCCCGAAGGGCGAAAGAUCCGAUCAUGGGAUGCAGAUCCCGUGACAAACCCAGGAUAUUACAGUUUCCCCCCUCUACAGAACGAUGUCCUAGAUCUUUUAUCUCUCAAGUUCCCUGUGGGAUGACAGCUUGCGCAGGAUCUAUAAUUGCCGCCUCCCGGGUGCUACCUCCUCCGGCAUAGAUACCGAACCGAUUUUUUUAUCCGAACGGUGGAUGCAAAUGUCUUUUUGAUACACCACCAGGAUAGUGCAAAGAUAGCGACAUGAGACCGCAGAGCAGCGGGCAUAUGCCACCAGCAGCCAUUUGGUGUAGUGCGUUUUUUUCAAUCCGCAACACGUAAUUCCUUAGCCACCGUUCAGGUAACCAAUUUGUGCACGAUCCGCGUGCGUUUGGAAGCGUUCAUGUCCUACAUGAGCUAGUUGUUUAGUUAAGAGUGUGUGUGUGUGUAUACGUUACUUCUCUGGCGUAUACAGUACUGAUAGUCAUCGCCAAACGGGCAGUGCAGGCAUUCUAUUACAACAGUGAUACUAAUCAUGGUACAGCUCCAUGCAUACUUACGCUUCUCCACCACAAGCCCGAGCUUCGCGGCCUCCUUACGCUUGAGCAACUCGACGGUUGCGCCAUUAUCUUCCACCACCGCAAUGGCCCAGCCGUCCGAGCGCUCGGCAAAGUCGUACGGCAGGUAGCCGUACCCUUCGUGCCCCCAGCUCGGGCCCCAGGAGUUGCGG
RNAcentral lists this long non-coding RNA (4710 nucleotides) under Volvox carteri. Its description in RNAcentral is "long non-coding RNA (VCAR_LNC000016)". The record is from RNAcentral. Lineage: Eukaryota; Viridiplantae; Chlorophyta; Chlorophyceae; Chlamydomonadales; Volvocaceae.